UACGGGGGGGGCAAGCGUUGUUCGGAAUUACUGGGCGUAAAGGGCGCGUAGGCGGCCUGUUAAGUCGAACGUGGAAUCCCCGGGCUCAACCCGGGAACUGCGUCCGAUACUGGCAGGCUUGAAUCCGGGAGAGGGAUGCGGAAUUCCAGGUGUAGCGGUGAAAUGCGUAGAUAUCUGGAGGAACACCGGUGGCGAAGGCGGCAUCCUGGACCGGCAUUGACGCUGAGGCGCGAAAGCCAGGGGAGCAAAGCGGG
RNAcentral lists this ribosomal RNA (254 nucleotides) under uncultured bacterium. RNAcentral describes it as "partial 16S ribosomal RNA". It matches the Rfam family "Bacterial small subunit ribosomal RNA", at positions 524 to 777 of the family's 1533-position model. The record is from RNAcentral.